AGAGGAUUGGUGUAAUGGUAGCAUGACGGUCUCCAAAACCGUUAGUCAAGGUUCGAGUCCUUGAUCCUCUGCCA
This 74-nucleotide transfer RNA is filed under the name Acinetobacter baumannii 25307_4. Its description in RNAcentral is "tRNA-Trp". It matches the Rfam family "tRNA". Rfam says of the family: Transfer RNA (tRNA) molecules are approximately 80 nucleotides in length. Their secondary structure includes four short double-helical elements and three loops (D, anti-codon, and T loops). Lineage: Bacteria; Pseudomonadati; Pseudomonadota; Gammaproteobacteria; Moraxellales; Moraxellaceae. The record is from RNAcentral.